GAUGAACGCUGGCGGCGUGCCUAAGACAUGCAAGUCGAGUGGGUUUAGACCCACGGCGAACGGGUGAGUAAUACCUAGGAACGUCCUUCUAGUUGAGCAUAGACAGCCGAAAGGCUGUGCAAUUCUCGAUGUGAUCGCAAGAUUAAAGUACGCAAGACGCUAGAGGUGCGGCCUGGGUGCCAUCAGCUAGUUGGUAGGGUAAUGGCCUACCAAGGCAA
RNAcentral lists this ribosomal RNA (218 nucleotides) under uncultured bacterium. Its description in RNAcentral is "partial 16S ribosomal RNA". It matches the Rfam family "Bacterial small subunit ribosomal RNA", at positions 28 to 276 of the family's 1533-position model. The record is from RNAcentral.